Danio aesculapii is the source of this 263-nucleotide long non-coding RNA. RefSeq lists it as uncharacterized. Lineage: Eukaryota; Metazoa; Chordata; Actinopteri; Cypriniformes; Danionidae. The transcript is spliced from 3 exons. The record is from RefSeq and is a predicted model, not a curated record.
GAAAACUUUUUUAACCCUAUUCCUCCGUCAGCCGUUGUGAUAGAAAUCAAUGGGAAGCAAACAUUAUGUGAGCAAGCAUGUUUGUUACCCAUACAAGAGCCACGAAGUAUUUGUGAUUGUGAGGACCAAAACUUGUCUGUUAGCACUGGUCGAUUAAUACAGCUCAUCAACAUAAAUGGUCGCUAUGAUCUCUCUUUGCCUAUGUGGUGCUGCAACACUUGCCACAAAUCAUGGACACCUGGGCUGCUGGACCUUGCCCGAAG